RNAcentral lists this unclassified non-coding RNA (330 nucleotides) under soil metagenome. RNAcentral describes it as "partial contains 5.8S ribosomal RNA, internal transcribed spacer 2, and large subunit ribosomal RNA". The stretch from base 1 to 121 matches the Rfam family "5.8S ribosomal RNA", at positions 35 to 154 of the family's 154-position model. The record is from RNAcentral.
GAUGAAGAACGUAGCGAAAUGCGAUAAGUAAUGCGAAUUGCAGAAUUCCAGUGAGUCAUCGAAUCUUUGAACGCACAUUGCGCCCUUUGGUAUUCCGAAGGGCAUGCCUGUUCGAGCGUCAUUUCACCACUCAAGCCUGGCUUGGUGUUGGGCGACGUCCUCUUUGGGGACGCGCCUCGAAACGCUCGGCGGCGUGGCACCGGCUUUAAGCGUAGCAGAAUCUUUCGCUUUGGAAGUCGGGGCCCCGUCUGCCGGAAGACCUGCUCGCAAGGUUGACCUCGGAUCAGGCAGGGAUACCCGCUGAACUUAAGCAUAUCAAUAAGCGGAGGA